GCCGCGAUGAGAGUUCCGCAGGCAGUACCAAACCGAUCUACCGCUACUUAGCUUCCAAGGGUCCCGGGUCCCGGAGGGCGUCAGACCGCCAACUCCGUCAGGACCCCGAAGGUAGCAGCGGUACGUGGAUCCUGUCGUCGCUUCGUCAGGCCCGGGGCACUGCG
Molecule: signal recognition particle RNA, 164 nt
Filed under: Gemmatimonas aurantiaca T-27
Lineage: Bacteria; Pseudomonadati; Gemmatimonadota; Gemmatimonadia; Gemmatimonadales; Gemmatimonadaceae
Description: bacterial signal recognition particle RNA
Rfam family: Bacterial small signal recognition particle RNA (bases 63-159)
About the family: The signal recognition particle (SRP) is a universally conserved ribonucleoprotein involved in the co-translational targeting of proteins to membranes. Archaeal SRP consists of a 7S RNA and homologues of the eukaryotic SRP19 and SRP54 proteins. In most bacteria, the SRP consists of a 4.5S RNA and the Ffh protein (a homologue of the eukaryotic SRP54 protein).
Source: RNAcentral